UGAUCAGCCCUGGAGACAGAAGUCCUCUAUCAACAAAAAGGCUACUGCAAUGCACGUUGCAGUUUGCAUUUCCUACAAUGACUCGCUGGUGUGCCAGAGCCCUGACCCAAAAGGAUUACUUUUAAGCUUGACAACAUGGUCUAGUUUCCACACCUUAUUCCCAGCCUUGUCUUAG
This 175-nucleotide small RNA is filed under the name Lonchura striata (white-rumped munia). RNAcentral describes it as "domestica (Bengalese finch) TUC338 (ENSLSDG00000000047.1)". Lineage: Eukaryota; Metazoa; Chordata; Aves; Passeriformes; Estrildidae. The record is from RNAcentral.